UAUAUACUCCCUCCAUCCCGAAUUACUUGUCUCAUAAAAGGAUGUAUCUAGACGUAUUUUUAGUUCAAUAUACAUCAAUUUCUAUCCAUUUCUGUGAUGAGUAAUUCGGGACGGAGGGAGUAUUUU
Triticum aestivum (bread wheat) is the source of this 126-nucleotide non-coding RNA. The record is from Rfam. Lineage: Eukaryota; Viridiplantae; Streptophyta; Magnoliopsida; Poales; Poaceae.